UGUUUCUGUGACAUCCAGGACACAAGUUGUUUACAUCUUACUAUGACAUCAUUGAAAGGCUGAUUUUUAUCAGCAGAUACUUCCUAGGUUGCAAGAAGGGGCCACCAGCUUGGGAUCACCUCUUCAUGCAGCCUGUCUGAAAUGCAGUCAGUGAAAAGCCUGGCAUCGCGUACCGAUGAUGUAGAUACUUUCUCUGCACUGGAGGUCAACUACCAGGCAUGUGGAUGAAGCCCUCCAAGAUCAGCCUGCUUCUGGCUGACCCACCCACUGCCUGAAGCUACCCAGCUGAGGCCAGAUGUGAGAUCUAUGAAACAAGUAUCCAUAAUGGAAGGGUGUGAUGAAGCAGAAGGUCCUCUUUCAAUAUUGUAGUUAUGUAACUUGAUGAGAAGAUUCCAGUGCCUGCAACAUGACAACAUGUAAGCCAAAUAAAUCCUAGCUGAAGACCACA
Molecule: long non-coding RNA, 448 nt
Organism: Mastomys coucha (southern multimammate mouse)
Lineage: Eukaryota; Metazoa; Chordata; Mammalia; Rodentia; Muridae
Exons: 3
Source: RefSeq, a predicted model, not a curated record